RNAcentral lists this long non-coding RNA (629 nucleotides) under Salmo salar (Atlantic salmon). Its description in RNAcentral is "lncRNA (ENSSSAG00000091979.1)". The record is from RNAcentral. Lineage: Eukaryota; Metazoa; Chordata; Actinopteri; Salmoniformes; Salmonidae.
GCAGUGAAAAAGAAUACCCACAGACAAGGCACGGGUGGUGGGUCACCAAAGGCUGACCUUACCCCAGCAGAGGACAUGGCCUUGGAGCUAAAUAAAGGCAGGCCCGUCUUAGAGGGGAUCCCUGGGGGAAAGAGACGAGCAUAGGUUCCUCCCAAGAUGCCACCCGCUUCAUUCAAGUGUCUGGCAGCACUGUGUUCCUGUUAGAGCCACCAGCACAAGCACCAGACGAUGCUGAUCCAGAUGAAGGCCCCAGUGCAGCAGCAACAGCACAUGAUGGAGACGAUGAUGAGGAGGAGACCAUCUCUCUGGAUUCCAGAAGGCAUGAGGACCCAGAUGCUAUACAGUGGGAAAACCAGCCUGGCAACAUAAGCUCACAAGCUAUCAGAAAGUUGUAUGGCAACCACCUCCGGCGCCAAAUAGAACUGGCAGACAUAGACAUUCAGUACAAGAAGAAAAAGAUGGAAAAUCUUGCACUGGAGUCCGAAAUAAAAAAGAGGACAAUUAGGAAACUGGACCUUGAAAUAAAAAAACUUGAGAGGGAGCUCCAAGAAGAUGACACAGCUCAAAAUAAAAAUUAGCAAUCAGUACAACCAAGUCAUCGUUAUAAGGCAUCGCCCUCUUUUGCCCAC